AGAGUUUGAUCCUGGCUCAGAACGUACGCUGGCGGCACGCCUAACACAUGCAAGUCGAACGAAGUAGCAAUACUUAGUGGCAGACGGGUGAGUAACAUGUAGGUAUCUGCCCUUUGGCCUGGAAUAACACGAGGAAACUUGUGCUAAUACCGGAUAAGUCUUUACGGAGAAAGCUUUAUGCACCAUUGGAUGAGCCUGCACUUGAUUAGUUUGUUGGUGGGGUAAUGGCCUACCAAGACUGUGAUCAAUAGCUGAUUUGAGAGGAUGAUCAGCCACAUUGGGACUGAGACACGGCCCAAACUCCUACGGGAGGCAGCAGUGGGGAAUCUUGCACAAUGGAGGAAACUCUGAUGCAGCGAUGCCGCGUGAGUGAAGAAGGCCUUUGGGUUGUAAAGCUCUUUCGUCGGGGAAGAAAAUGACUGUACCCGAAUAAGAAGGUCCGGCUAACUUCGUGCCAGCAGCCGCGGUAAUACGAAGGGACCUAGCGUAGUUCGGAAUUACUGGGCUUAAAGAGUUCGUAGGUGGUUGAAAAAGUUGGUGGUGAAAUCCCAGAGCUUAACUCUGGAACUGCCAUCAAAACUUUUCAGCUAGAGUAUGAUAGAGGAAAGCAGAAUUUCUAGUGUAGAGGUGAAAUUCGUAGAUAUUAGAAAGAAUACCAAUUGCGAAGGCAGCUUUCUGGAUCAUAACUGACACUGAGGAACGAAAGCAUGGGUAGCGAAGAGGAUUAGAUACCCUCGUAGUCCAUGCCGUAAACGAUGUGUGUUAGACGUUGGAAAUUUAUUUUCAGUGUCGCAGCGAAAGCGAUAAACACACCGCCUGGGGAGUACGACCGCAAGGUUAAAACUCAAAUGAAUUGACGGGGACCCGCACAAGUAGUGGAGCAUGUGGUUUAAUUCGAAGAUACGCGCAGAACCUUACCAACACUUGACAUGUUCGUCGCGACUCUAAGAGAUUAGAGUUUUCGGUUCGGCCGGACGAAACACAGGUGCUGCAUGGCUGUCGUCAGCUCGUGUCGUGAGAUGUUGGGUUAAGUCCCGCAACGAGCGCAACCCUCACUUUUAGUUGCCAUCAUUAAGUUGGGCACUCUGAAAGAACUGCCAGUGAUAAGCUGGAGGAAGGUGGGGAUGACGUCAAGUCCUCAUGGCCCUUACGUGUUGGGCUACACACGUGCUACAAUGGUAUCUACAACAGGAAGCGAAACGGCGACGUUAAGCAAAUCCUUAAAAGAUACCUCAGUUCGGAUUGCACUCUGCAACUCGAGUGCAUGAAGCUGGAAUUACUAGUAAUCGUGGAUCAGCGUGCCACGGUGAAUGCGUUCCCGGGUCUUGUACACACCGCCCGUCACACCAUGGGAGUUGGUUCUACCUUAAGGCAAGGUUUAAAACCCUUGACCACGGUAUAGUCAGCGACUGGGGUGAAGUCGUAACAAGGUAACC
RNAcentral lists this ribosomal RNA (1436 nucleotides) under uncultured bacterium. Its description in RNAcentral is "bacterial SSU rRNA". It matches the Rfam family "Bacterial small subunit ribosomal RNA". The record is from RNAcentral.